RNAcentral lists this ribosomal RNA (253 nucleotides) under uncultured bacterium. Its description in RNAcentral is "partial 16S ribosomal RNA". It matches the Rfam family "Bacterial small subunit ribosomal RNA", at positions 524 to 776 of the family's 1533-position model. The record is from RNAcentral.
UACGUAGGGUGCAAGCGUUGUCCGGAAUUAUUGGGCGUAAAGAGCUCGUAGGCGGUUUGUUGCGUCGGCUGUGAAAUCCCGAGGCUCAACCUCGGGUCUGCAGUCGAUACGAGCAAACUAGAGUGUUGCAGGGGAGACUGGAAUUCCUGGUGUAGCGGUGAAAUGCGCAGAUAUCAGGAGGAACACCGGUGGCGAAGGCGGGUCUCUGGGCCGAUACUGACGCUGAGGCGCGAAAGCUAGGGGAGCAAACAGG